RNAcentral lists this transfer RNA (73 nucleotides) under Proteomonas sulcata. Its description in RNAcentral is "tRNA-Gln". It matches the Rfam family "tRNA". From Rfam's summary of the family: Transfer RNA (tRNA) molecules are approximately 80 nucleotides in length. Their secondary structure includes four short double-helical elements and three loops (D, anti-codon, and T loops). The record is from RNAcentral. Lineage: Eukaryota; Cryptophyceae; Pyrenomonadales; Geminigeraceae.
UGGAAUGUCGCCAAGAGGUUAAGGCACUGGUUUUUGAUAUCAGCAUUCGAAGGUUCAAAUCCUUCCAUUCCAG